AGGAUAAUAGUUAAUUAUAAUAUUUGAUUUGCAUUCAAAAGGUGUUGAAUAUUCAACUUUUCUUA
Molecule: transfer RNA, 65 nt
Filed under: Brachinus crepitans
Lineage: Eukaryota; Metazoa; Arthropoda; Insecta; Coleoptera; Carabidae
Description: tRNA-Ala
Rfam family: tRNA
About the family: Transfer RNA (tRNA) molecules are approximately 80 nucleotides in length. Their secondary structure includes four short double-helical elements and three loops (D, anti-codon, and T loops). Further hydrogen bonds mediate the characteristic L-shaped molecular structure. tRNAs have two regions of fundamental functional importance: the anti-codon, which is responsible for specific mRNA codon recognition, and the 3' end, to which the tRNAs corresponding amino acid is attached (by aminoacyl-tRNA synthetases). tRNAs cope with the degeneracy of the genetic code in two manners: having more than one tRNA (with a specific anti-codon) for a particular amino acid; and 'wobble' base-pairing, i.e. permitting non-standard base-pairing at the 3rd anti-codon position.
Source: RNAcentral